GGGUGCGAUCAUACAGCACUAAUGCACCGGAUCCAUCAUAACUCCGAAGUUAAACGUGCUUGGGCGAGAGUAGUACUAAGAUGGGUGACCUC
RNAcentral lists this ribosomal RNA (92 nucleotides) under Ricinus communis (castor bean). Lineage: Eukaryota; Viridiplantae; Streptophyta; Magnoliopsida; Malpighiales; Euphorbiaceae. The record is from RNAcentral.